CUGGGAUAACAGAUGGAAACGUCUGAUAAGACUAGAUAUAAUAAUGACAUGGCAUCAUGUUGUUAUGAAAGGUAACACUAAGAGAGAGCUUUGCGUCCUAUUAGUUAGUUGGUGAGGUAAUGGCUCACCAAGACGAUGAUAGGUAGCCGGCCUGAGAGGGUGAACGGCCACAAGGGGACUGAGAUACGGCCCUUACUCUUACGGGAGGCAGCAGUGGGGAAUAUUGGACAAUGGAGGAAACUCUGAUCCAGCAAUUCUGUGUGCACGAUGAAGGUUUUCGGAUCGUAAAGUGCUUUCAGUAGGGAAGAAGAAAGUGACGGUACCUACAGAAGAAGCGACGGCUAAAUACGUGCCAGCAGCCGCGGUAAUACGUAUGUCGCAAGCGUUAUCCGGAAUUAUUGGGCGUAAAGGGCAUCUAGGCGGUCAAUCAAGUCGAAGGUGAAAACUUGUGGCUCAACCAUAAGCUUGCCUACGAAACUGAUUAACUAGAGUACUGGAGAGGUGGACGGAACUACACGAGUAGAGGUGAAAUUCGUAGAUAUGUGUAGGAAUGCCGAUGAUGAAGAUAGUUCACUGGACAGAAACUGACGCUGAAGUGCGAAAGCUAGGGGAGCAAACAGGAUUAGAUACCCUGGUAGUCCUAGCUGUAAACGGUGAUCACUGGGUGUGGGCAGGAAGACUGUCUGUGCCGAAGCUAACGCGAUAAGUGAUCCGCCUGGGGAGUACGACCGCA
This 733-nucleotide ribosomal RNA is filed under the name uncultured bacterium. RNAcentral's name for it is "bacterial SSU rRNA". It matches the Rfam family "Bacterial small subunit ribosomal RNA", at positions 138 to 890 of the family's 1533-position model. The record is from RNAcentral.